This 501-nucleotide long non-coding RNA is filed under the name Setaria viridis. Its description in RNAcentral is "long non-coding RNA (SVIR_LNC008221)". Lineage: Eukaryota; Viridiplantae; Streptophyta; Magnoliopsida; Poales; Poaceae. The record is from RNAcentral.
CGAGUGACACUGUCCGAUAACAACGAGAAGCUGCUAAAAUGUGUAACACGCUACAGCAUCACUCUAUCCUGGACUUGUUGGCAUCAGGUGACCAGCUCUGUUAUGGGGUCAUAAUGGCCCUGCAAUAUGUAGAUGGUCUAGCGCUCGCCGCCUACUCUGUUACACCACAGGUACAGGUAGUACUUUCCGCAUCCAUGUCAGUUCGCGGUGAUGACCCCGCUGUGUGUAGGUGAAGGUGUGCCACUCAACCAAAUUCAAGCCCAGCACUACGUUUUCACACUGCCAAGUAUGCCAGUUUUGCUACACAAGCACUUCCAUGGUGCGGCCUACUAACUCCCUCCAGUGUCUUUGCUAUGGAGUUUUAUUGUUUAUUGCAUAACUAGACCUCAUUGAAGGUAUACUUUGAUUUUUUUUUGCGAGAGUAUUGGCUAGUGGUAACAUAUCAUGCUAGUUCGGUUCCAGUGUAGUGACCUCAAUUUACUGUCCCAGCUACUAAUAUGU